RNAcentral lists this ribosomal RNA (301 nucleotides) under uncultured bacterium. RNAcentral describes it as "partial 16S ribosomal RNA". It matches the Rfam family "Bacterial small subunit ribosomal RNA", at positions 509 to 809 of the family's 1533-position model. The record is from RNAcentral.
CAGUCGCCGCGGGAAUACGAAGGGGGCUAGCGUUGUUCGGAAUCACUGGGCGUAAAGCGCACGUAGGCGGAUUGUUAAGUCAGGGGUGAAAUCCCGAGGCUCAACCUCGGAACUGCCUUUGAUACUGGAGAUCUUGAGUUCGGAAGAGGUUGGUGGAACAGCUAGUGUAGAGGUGAAAUUCGUAGAUAUUAGCUAGAACACCAGUGGCGAAGGCGGCCAACUGGUCCGACACUGACGCUGAGGUGCGAAAGCGUGGGGAGCAAACAGGAUUAGAUACCCCUGUAGUCCCUGUCUCUUAUAU